UGGGGGAUAUUGCACAAUGGGCGAAAGCCUGAUGCAGCGACGCCGCGUGGGGGAUGAAGGCUUUCGGGUUGUAAACCUCUUUCGCUAUCGAACAAGGCCCGCUUAGGGUGGGUUGAGGGUAGGUGGAGAAGAAGCGCCAGCUAACUACGUGCCAGCAGCCGCGGUAAUACGUAGGGCGCGAGCGUUGUCCGGAAUUAUUGGGCGUAACGGGCUUGUAGGCGGCUUGUUGCGCCUGCUGUGAAAACGCGGGGCUUAACUUCGCGCGUGCAGUGGGUAAGGGCAGGCUUGAGUGUGGUAGGGGUGACUGGAAUUCCAGGUGUAGCGGUGGAAUGCGCAGAUAUCUGGAGGAACACCGAUGGCGAAGGCAGGUCACUGGGCCAUUACUGACGCUGAGGAGCGAAAGCAUGGGUAGCGAACAGG
RNAcentral lists this ribosomal RNA (420 nucleotides) under bacterium. RNAcentral's name for it is "partial 16S ribosomal RNA". It matches the Rfam family "Bacterial small subunit ribosomal RNA", at positions 355 to 776 of the family's 1533-position model. The record is from RNAcentral.